Molecule: RNA transcript, 1484 nt
Organism: Cebus imitator (Panamanian white-faced capuchin)
Lineage: Eukaryota; Metazoa; Chordata; Mammalia; Primates; Cebidae
Gene name: HEAT repeat-containing protein 6-like
Exons: 5
Source: RefSeq, a predicted model, not a curated record
AGGGGACGCCGGCGGGGAGUCAGGCCGGGCCUCAGGGGCGGCGGUGUGGCAGGUGGGCCUGCGAGGGCUUCCUCCAGGGCUGCAGCAAGGCCUUCGGCGAGCCUCGGCCUCCGCGCAGACGCCUCCUGAGUGUCUUGCUCUGCUCCGGGACUCUUCUGUGAAAGGCAAAGAGCAAGAGAAGACCUCAGAUGUCAAGUCCAUUAAAGAUGUUUAAUUAGCACCCACUAGGGACUGGGCACUGUUCUCAGCUCUGGAGAAAAUGGCAGUGAACAAAAUGGACAAAACCAUAGACCUUGUGGACCUCAUGCUUUAGUGUCGGGAAGAGACAUUCAGAUGACAAGAAAGUAAAAAGCAGUGUGGUCCGGGCCUUGGACAUUAGCUUCGUUGUCUGCAACCCUCUCAUAUGGAAAAACCCACACUUGCAGAAAUUGAGUUUAUCCAGGCCCUGAUUUCCACUGUCCUAACAGAAGCUGCCAUGACAGUCCGAUGGAACGCUUGUUAUGCAAUGGGAAAUGUAUUUAAAAAUCCCGCCCUUCCAUUAGGGACAGCCCCAUGGACCUCCCAGGCCUACAGCGCCCUGACAUCAGUUGUGACAUCAUGCAAGGACUUCAAAGUGCGCAUCAGAUCUACCACUGCCCUUGCCAUCCCGGGCAAGAGAGAGCAGUAUGGGUCUGUUGACCAGUAUGCUCGGAUUGGAUCUGGAACACAUUGGUCACCGCCUUACAGAAGAGCGAAGACACCACAGCCUUUUUGGAAUUCAAGUACUGUGCCAGCCUACAGACCCAAAUCUGCCAGGCACUCAUUUAUUUCCUGAGCUUGGCCAGUGCCUCAGACUUGCUUUGUAUCAGAGAAACCCUUGAACUGAAUGAGAAUAUGCUCCAGUCCUAUAUCCUACAGUUUCUAAAAUAAGGAGCAGAGGAAGAUGACACUGGAGCACCCCACAGCCCCCAGGAAAGAGACCAAAUGGUCAGAAUGGCCCUGAAGCGCAUGGGCAGUGUCCAGGCACUGACUGGAGACACAGCCAGAAGGGCCAUCAUGGGCUUUGUAGAAGAGAUCCUGGCCGUUUGUUUUGACUCAUCUGGAUCACAAGGGGCACUCCCAGGGUUAACAAGUCACUGAAGAUCCCACCAUACUUUCUAGGUGCCUGAGCUUGAGCAUAAGAUAUGUGGGAUUUCAUCUUAGGGGCAGAAACAAUCCAUUCACUAUUUAUUUAGAAUGACUUAGCAGCAAUUUAAAUUUUCGCAGAAGGCUCAGCCACCUUGGGAGUGGCUCCACAGCACUGACCAUGGUCAGACUUGUUGGAACCUCUGACCUGUGCAUCCAGGAGCCGAGGAGUCGGGUUGUAUUAUGGGCCAAGCAGAUAGGAGGGCUUUGAGGGCGUUUAGCCUCAGGGAAAAAAAAAAAAAGGCAGGAGGAUUUAGGAGUUAGAAUGUUGUAUAUUGUGUCUGUAGUUUUGUAAUAAACUAAUGAAAAACAGUGUGUCC